This 124-nucleotide transfer RNA is filed under the name Tunturiibacter empetritectus. RNAcentral's name for it is "Tunturibacter empetritectus tRNA-OTHER". Lineage: Bacteria; Pseudomonadati; Acidobacteriota; Terriglobia; Terriglobales; Acidobacteriaceae. The record is from RNAcentral.
GGGCACAAAACUCGCGUCUUACACGGCUUAUAGGGUCUUAUAUGAGGGCUAAGUAACUGUAUUUGCAUCAAGUUAGUCGAACACACGGUGGAAGUCGCAGGUUCGAAUCCUGCUGUGCCCACCA